Molecule: non-coding RNA, 222 nt
Filed under: Pacificibacter marinus
Lineage: Bacteria; Pseudomonadati; Pseudomonadota; Alphaproteobacteria; Rhodobacterales; Roseobacteraceae
Source: RNAcentral
GCCAAAUAGACGGGCUAUGGUUCCCCUAUCGUCACGCCAAGCGUGCUGGGGAGAAAUGGGAAUGUGGUUCGAGUGACCCAAGUCGGGACUCAAAUCCACAGCCGCCCCCGCGACUGUAUGCGGUGAGUGCACGCCAUACGCCACUGGACCUUUGGGUUUGGGAAGGCGGCGAGCGCACAUUGACCCGCAAGCCAGGAGACCAGCCGUGGCCUUAUAUCAACC